Molecule: long non-coding RNA, 450 nt
Filed under: Musa acuminata (dwarf banana)
Lineage: Eukaryota; Viridiplantae; Streptophyta; Magnoliopsida; Zingiberales; Musaceae
Description: long non-coding RNA (MACU_LNC000337)
Source: RNAcentral
GUAGCCAUCCUCGGGGGGCAGGAGGACGACCUGGCGCAACAGGUGGCGAGUGUUGGCGAAGAAGCACACGUGCACGUCGACGCCUGGGUCCAGGUUGAUGGCGCGCGUGCGGGACUGCCACAGGUUGGCGACGGCGACGUCGAAGGUAGAGCAGCGCUGGCCGGUGAGCUCCAAGUGUCGGGACUUGACGUGAUCGAUGUGGUCAGGGGAUAGGUCGACGGUGGCGUGGAGCAGCUUGAAGGAGGGGAACACGGGCGGGCCACCGGGAGGCAGCUUAGGUGGGUUGGGUAUGACCUCCCGGGACCAUGCAGGCUCCACGGUGGGCUUCGGCAGGCCACGGGCGAUCUCGGCGACGGCGUUGAUGAACUGGGCGACGCCGAGGCCGUCGGCGAUGGUAUGGACGGAGAUGAGGCCGACCACGAAUCCGCCGCCCACGAACUCUGUCACCUG